UCGAGACACGUGGUCCGGCGGCCGGGCACGACCGAUAAACUGGUCUCGGACGACGCCGGGCGCAGCCUCCGGCCGGUCCGUCAAUGAUCAGCCAGCAGCCGCUGCAACACCAGGGAG
RNAcentral lists this small RNA (117 nucleotides) under Streptomyces jeddahensis. RNAcentral describes it as "Streptomyces-metK RNA". It matches the Rfam family "Streptomyces-metK RNA". The record is from Rfam by way of RNAcentral. Lineage: Bacteria; Bacillati; Actinomycetota; Actinomycetes; Kitasatosporales; Streptomycetaceae.